UACGAAGGGUGCAAGCGUUACUCGGAAUUACUGGGCGUAAAGCGUGCGCAGGCGGUUUUGUAAGCCAGGUGUGAAAUCCCCGGGCUCAACCUGGGAAUGGCAUUUGGGACUGCAAGGCUGGAGUGCGGCAGAGGAGACUGGAAUUCCUGGUGUAGCAGUGAAAUGCGUAGAUAUCAGGAGGAACACCGAUGGCGAAGGCAGGUCUCUGGGCUGACACUGACGCUCAUGCACGAAAGCGUGGGGAGCAAACAGG
This 253-nucleotide ribosomal RNA is filed under the name uncultured bacterium. RNAcentral's name for it is "partial 16S ribosomal RNA". It matches the Rfam family "Bacterial small subunit ribosomal RNA", at positions 524 to 776 of the family's 1533-position model. The record is from RNAcentral.